GGGGAAAUUGUAACGACCGCGUCCCGCGUUCAUAAAGAGGGCAGGUUGUUUUAGGAGAAAACUAGACCAUGGUCAAGAAACGGACUAAAAUACUUAGUAGGAAGAACGAGAAAGUUCAAGCCGAACCAGCUAGGUGAGCUGGACAAGCUGGAUGAACUAGCUAGCUAAGCUAGGUGAGCUAAACCAGCUGUAAGACUAGCUAGCUCAGCUAGGUGAGCUGACCGACAGCUCGAUUGAGCUCGGUGAGCUAAUCAAGUACUGACCCAGCUGGGUGGUCCGGUCAGCUGACACUCGAGCUGGUGAACUGUGGUAGCUCACGGGUGAAGAGGUGUCUCGGCCAAAAGGUGUAAGGUCGAGCGGGUACCAACGAACGGUUGCAUCGCCCAAGGGAUGCAAGGAACAGAUGUGACCUUUCGAAAGGAUGCAAAGAACGGAUGUGACCUUUCGGAAGGGUGCAAGGACCGGAUGUGAUGCUUCGGGAAGCAUCCAUUCGCCUCCUAUAUAAGGGAGGACGCCCAAGGCAUCUCACAUCAUCUCACAACAUCCAAAACACCAUAAAACAUUCUAAAAGGAGUCCCAACACAUCCUAGAGUUGUUGGUCGGAAAGGGGGUGCGGCUCGGCGAGUAUAACUCGACCGAACUGAUGCGCAUGCUACCUCCCGGUCCAACGGUUCGAUGGAGUGUAGAGGAUGGAGAGGGUAGACCGUUCGUCUUAGAGACGAAUCGGAUCUGGUAGACCGAUCGUUGGAUCGGAUCGGCCAGACCGAUCGUCAGACGGAUCGGAUCGGCCAGACGGAUCGGACAGACCGAUCGUCGGACGGGUCAGAUGGGACAGGCCGAUCGUCUGACGGAACGGGUCGGACAGACCAAUCGUCGGAUGAGAUGGAUCGAGAAAAGUGUUCGAGGAAGCACAAGGAUAAGUGCAUCCGAACACACCCAAGGGUCGCCCAUGGAUGCAAUCUUACCGAUAAAGGGAGAAAGCACCAAGAAUGGGUAAGGAACGUGAUUCACCAUAUAGGAUCAACAUCGCGGCCGCCUUCAUGUAUCUAUCUCCUUAGCCAUGGUGAAACCGAUCAGAGAUCAGUAAGACCAAAGGGUGACUCGACGGAUAACCAACGGGAAAGUCCACGGUGGGAACCGAUGGACAAAACGGAUGUUGGACCCGCGAGCAAACCUAAGGCCGACGGAAGAAAGAUUUCAUGGGCUAGCCUAUGAUGAUCCAGUGGAUGAAUCCACGGACCCUUGGGUGUGAUAAGGAUAUCGUUCGGACCGCAUGGAUGGAUCAUUAAGCCGAAAGCUUUAUCGACCACCAUGGACUGGACGGGUAAACGAUUAGUAAACCGUGGGCGGUCGUAGUGUUAAACGACCGGAACGGAAACAUGGAUGGUUCGAUAAGCCGAGGGCUCAAUCGUCCACCAUGUAGCCGGAGGGGCGUACGUUUGGAGAACGAAUGGACCAAUAAGCCAAGAGCUUGAUUCGGCCAUCGUGAACCAAGGGAAUCGUACGAUCCCCAAUCUCUAUCGUUGUACUUAGACCAGUGGGGUUGGUUGGUUGUAUGGCUAAGUAACAAUAGGGAUUGGUUCAUCAAUUCACGACCGAUGACGAGUCGUUGAACGAAUGGAGUAAGGCGACAAACGGGCUAAGGAAUCAAAUCUGCAU
RNAcentral lists this small RNA (1659 nucleotides) under Arabidopsis thaliana (thale cress). Its description in RNAcentral is "ATSL077240". Lineage: Eukaryota; Viridiplantae; Streptophyta; Magnoliopsida; Brassicales; Brassicaceae. The record is from RNAcentral.